CUGGAAAUGGCUCUUGCCGUUGGUGUCAUAGAAUGUAAAGUGUUGGGAAGAGGGAAAGAUAAAAAAUACGGGAAGGAUUCUGGAGUUGAGCCAGGAGAAGCACUGUUAAAGAGCAGAACUAGACACAAGGGAUGAAAAGUAGGAUUCUCGACCUCUCUGUGAUCAUAACUCUAACGCAAGGAAGAACCUGAAAGCUCUUGUGAUACUUACUCUUGUCUCUCCUCUACUCGGCUGUAGGUGCCCUCCCUUCCCAGUUGUAUGAAUGGAUAUUUCUUUUCCAUGACUGUGAAACCAACAGAAGGCUCAAUAUUGAAGGGAAGGAGGCGAUGGGAAAGGUCUCUCCUGAGCCCCUGGAGGGCUGAUGUGAUUCGGAAUGGACAGUGCCAGAUGGGAUACCCUUUAGGGGCUACAAUCAGAAUACUUUAGAUUCCUGCCCUUGUUAAGCCAUACACUGUCAGAGCUCAGAAGAAACACUUCUGUUUUCCACCUGCCAAAACACCUCUGUGUUCCACCUGGUGAUGACUUCAAGAAUCAGAUGGAUUUUAUCUGUUUAAAGAUGGGGAAUUAACCAUUGCUUCUUUAUUCGACGAUGUGGUAAUGACAUUAGCAGAAUGCAGCAAAGAUGACUUUGUGGCUGUGAAUUAGGAGUAAUCUGUCAGGAUGUUCACAUAAGAUAAAACAAAAAUGCUGAUGAUUACUGUUCUAAUAAAUCAAUUCAGGAUAGAACAGAAUAAAAUCUAGAUAUGAGUACAACAGCCCCUUCUGGAUAUGUCAGUAUGCUGAAGGCCAAUCUAGAGACACUCUUUUAGCAGCCCUUCCAUUGCAGGACAAAGAGCAAAGAACAAUAAACUAUUUCCUUGUAGAAGUAGAUGAAUAAUCUAAGGAGGAAGUGAUCGAUGAUGUCAAGACGGACACCCUUGUUGGCAAUACCCACGCCCAGUCUGGCUCCCUGUCAGCCCCACACAGGUCACUUCAAAUACAAAUGCAGUCCUUAUAAUAAAAGAAAGCCUUGAGUCACAGGUGCAACCUGGUACCACCUCAGUGCCCAACAAAAUACGGUUCUGCAGCAUUUCCUCCCAUGCCAUUUUUAACUUAAAUGCAGACUUCAUGGGUGGAAUAUCAGCCACAUUGCUACUUCCUCCUGUUGGAAGUAAUCAGGAGUAACUCAGCUUACACUCAAGGAGAUGCAUGUCUUUGCAUGGGGAAGAGUUGAGAGGGAGAGGACUAGAUUGUCCUUCACCCGCUCUGAAUUGUGCUGACCUUCUUUCUCUUUUAGAUUGCUAUUCCAAAGAAUGCUGAUGUCCCUUCCUUCUUUUUCACACCUUUCCAAGGUGGAGACAUCUCGCUUUUGUUCUGUAGAGAUGAAAAAGGUACCAGUGGCUCCUGACACUUUCAGCUGAAUCGACUAGAACUAGGACUUCCAUCAGUUUUCCUAAAACAAAUGUAUUUCUCUAAUAAGCACAAUAUUUCUUAUUUUCUUGUAAAACAAUGUGGGUGCAAUUCCUUUACCUGUGUCCAGGUAGUGAUUUUGAAUUUCAAAGGGCUGAAUCUACCAGCUAACGUUGCUCCUGUACUUCUGUGUGCUUAUUUUCCAACACCACUCAUCCUUUUUGGUUUUUACUUAACAUCUCACCUGAUGAAACAUUCUGAAGAAUUUGAAUUUAGGAUGAUAUGAAGAUUUUAAUUUGUCCCAAAUUCAAAGAAAUUUUUUCCUGCUCCCCCACCAACGGUGUCAUCCUUUCCAGAAAUGUUAUAUCAUUAAAGAGGGAUGGAAACAUUGGCAUGAACUUUUGUGGACAACACCACAUACAUUUCAUCAAGAUCAUUCGAUAUCAUGUGCUACAAUUAAUGAAGGCUUAAAACAAAUAAAACUUGUUA
This is a non-coding RNA of Pogona vitticeps (central bearded dragon), 1878 nucleotides long. The record is from RefSeq and is a predicted model, not a curated record. NCBI's taxonomy places the organism in Eukaryota, Metazoa, Chordata, Lepidosauria, Squamata, Agamidae.